GUGCAAGUGAUGUGAACGUUUUUUGACCACUGAGUAGAGUGAUGCUUCCAAAGGAACCACUGAUGCAC
RNAcentral lists this small nucleolar RNA (68 nucleotides) under Chaetura pelagica (chimney swift). RNAcentral's name for it is "Small nucleolar RNA SNORD42". It matches the Rfam family "Small nucleolar RNA SNORD42". From Rfam's summary of the family: snoRNA U42 is found in intron 3 of the ribosomal protein L23a (RPL23a) gene in humans and is also present in mice. U42 is a member of the C/D class of snoRNA which contain C (UGAUGA) and D (CUGA) box motifs. The record is from Rfam by way of RNAcentral. Lineage: Eukaryota; Metazoa; Chordata; Aves; Apodiformes; Apodidae.